The sequence is a ribosomal RNA, 1526 nucleotides long. The stretch from base 690 to 1526 matches the Rfam family "Eukaryotic large subunit ribosomal RNA", at positions 1 to 695 of the family's 3401-position model.
UCGCUCUUCAACGAGGAAUCCCUAGUAAGCGUGAGUCAUCAGCUCACGUUGAUUACGUCCCUGCCCUUUGUACACACCGCCCGUCGCUACUACCGAUUGAAUGGCUUAGUGAGACCUUUGGAUUGGGUUUGGGAACGGCAACGUAACCUUAUUCCGAGAAGUCGGUCAAACUUGGUCAUUUAGAGGAAGUAAAAGUCGUAACAAGGUUUCCGUAGGUGAACCUGCGGAAGGAUCAUUAAUAAUUUUUUCCAUCCAUUUUUGGGGGAAUUAUUUGUAUUCAAAUUCCACUCUUAAAUUUUUAAAAAUAAAAUUUAUAUAACAAAUAUAAAAAGACAACUUUCAACAACGGAUCUCUUGGCUCUCGCAUCGAUGAAGAACGCAGCGAAAUGCGAUACGUAGUGUGAAUUGCAGGUUUACGUGAAUCAUCGAAUCUUUGAACGCAAAUUGCACUUUCCAGUACUCUGGGAAGUAUGCCUGGUUGAGGGUCGUUAAAACAACAAUCGUAAAAUUUUUUACGGAUUUGGGUUUUCCGGCAUUUUUUAAAUGCUGGUAACUUUAAAAUGAUCUUUUUUUGGUUCAAGUUAAAACGUUCUAUAUUUACAUGGUUCGUUGAAAACUUACCUAAUAUGUUAUAUAUUAUGUUUACACUUGUCAUUUUAAUCGAUUCGUGCAAGCAUAUAUUUUUUUUAUGACCUCAACUCAAGCAAGAUUACCCGCUGAACUUAAGCAUAUCAAUAAGCGGAGGAAAAGAAACUAACAAGGAUUCCCUUAGUAACGGCGAGUGAAGUGGGAAAAGCUCAAAUUUUAAAUCUACCUGGUUUCCAGGUCGAAUUGUAAUUUGAAGAAGCGUUUUCGGUGUUUCGAUCUGGUUGAAGUUCUUUGGAACAAGACAUCAUGGAGGGUGAGAAUCCCGUGCAUGAUCAGAUCGAGAUACUCCAGAUACGCUCUCUAAGAGUCGAGUUGUUUGGGAAUGCAGCUCAAAAUGGGUGGUAGACUUCACCUAAGGCUAAAUAUCAGCGAGAGACCGAUAGCGAACAAGUACCGUGAGGGAAAGAUGAAAAGAACUUUGAAAAGAGAGUUAAAUAGUACGUGAAAUUGUUGAAAGGGAAACGAUUGAAGUCAGUCGUGCCGUUGAGAAAUCAACUUAGCGAGUUUCAGUUUUUGAAUCUUUGAUAGGGUCAAACCAUCAAGGUUUUUAAGUUGGGACUUGUUGAGUGUACUUUCUUUUUGGCAGGUCAGCGUCGAUUUUGGGGGUUGUAAAAUGACUGGGAGAAUGUAGCUCCCUUCGGGGAGUGUUAUAGACCCUGGGGGAUGCAGCCCGCGGGAUCGAGGAUUGCAGCAAAUGCUUCAGCUUGUCGUCUAUCCGUUAAACGUUACCCUGCUUGUGACAAUAUUCUUGACACUUUGUGGGACUUGACGGUUAUAGGUUAGAACGUUCUAAAAUUUGCUAAGGAUGCUGACGUAAUGGCUUUAAACGACCCGUCUUGAAACACGGACCAAGGAGUCUAACAUAUAUGCGAGUGUUU